UACGUAGGGUGCAGGCGUUAAUCGGAAUUACUGGGCGUAAAGCGUGCGUAGACGGUUAUUUAAGUCAGGUGUGAAAGCCCCGGGCUCAACCUGGGAAUUGCAUUUGAGACUGAAUAGCUAGGGUGCGGAAGAGGGAAGCGGAAUUUCCGGUGUAGCGGUGAAAUGCGUAGAUAUCGGAAGGAACACCAGUGGCGAAAGCGGCUUCCUGGUCCAGCACCGACGUUCAGGCACGAAAGCGUGGGGAGCAAACAGG
Molecule: ribosomal RNA, 253 nt
Filed under: uncultured bacterium
Lineage: Bacteria
Description: partial 16S ribosomal RNA
Rfam family: Bacterial small subunit ribosomal RNA
Source: RNAcentral